RNAcentral lists this ribosomal RNA (1273 nucleotides) under Micrococcus endophyticus. Its description in RNAcentral is "bacterial SSU rRNA". It matches the Rfam family "Bacterial small subunit ribosomal RNA", at positions 48 to 1343 of the family's 1533-position model. The record is from RNAcentral. Lineage: Bacteria; Bacillati; Actinomycetota; Actinomycetes; Micrococcales; Micrococcaceae.
CUUACACAUGCAGUCGAACGAUGAAGCCCAGCUUGCUGGGUGGAUUAGUGGCGAACGGGUGAGUAACACGUGAGUAACCUGCCCUUGACUCUGGGAUAAGCCCGGGAAACUGGGUCUAAUACCGGAUAGGAACGUCCACCGCAUGGUGGUUGUUGGAAAGAUUUAUCGGUCAUGGAUGGACUCGCGGCCUAUCAGCUUGUUGGUGAGGUAAUGGCUCACCAAGGCGACGACGGGUAGCCGGCCUGAGAGGGUGACCGGCCACACUGGGACUGAGACACGGCCCAGACUCCUACGGGAGGCAGCAGUGGGGAAUAUUGCACAAUGGGCGAAAGCCUGAUGCAGCGACGCCGCGUGAGGGAUGACGGCCUUCGGGUUGUAAACCUCUUUCAGUAGGGAAGAAGCGAAAGUGACGGUACCUGCAGAAGAAGCACCGGCUAACUACGUGCCAGCAGCCGCGGUAAUACGUAGGGUGCGAGCGUUAUCCGGAAUUAUUGGGCGUAAAGAGCUCGUAGGCGGUUUGUCGCGUCUGUCGUGAAAGUCCGGGGCUUAACCCCGGAUCUGCGGUGGGUACGGGCAGACUAGAGUGCAGUAGGGGAGACUGGAAUUCCUGGUGUAGCGGUGGAAUGCGCAGAUAUCAGGAGGAACACCGAUGGCGAAGGCAGGUCUCUGGGCUGUAACUGACGCUGAGGAGCGAAAGCAUGGGGAGCGAACAGGAUUAGAUACCCUGGUAGUCCAUGCCGUAAACGUUGGGCACUAGGUGUGGGGACCAUUCCACGGUUUCCGCGCCGCAGCUAACGCAUUAAGUGCCCCGCCUGGGGAGUACGGCCGCAAGGCUAAAACUCAAAGGAAUUGACGGGGGCCCGCACAAGCGGCGGAGCAUGCGGAUUAAUUCGAUGCAACGCGAAGAACCUUACCAAGGCUUGACAUGUUCUCGAUCGCCGUAGAGAUACGGUUUCCCCUUUGGGGCGGGAUCACAGGUGGUGCAUGGUUGUCGUCAGCUCGUGUCGUGAGAUGUUGGGUUAAGUCCCGCAACGAGCGCAACCCUCGUUCAUGUUGCCAGCACGUAGUGGUGGGGACUCAUGGGAAACUGCCGGGGUCACUCGGAGGAAGGUGGGGACAACGUCAAAUCAUCAUGCCCCUUAUGUCUUGGGCUUCCCCCAGGCUACAAGGGCGGGAAAAGGGUUGGAAACUGUGAGGUGGACUAAUCCCAAAAACCGGUUUCAUUUUGGAAUGGGGGUUGCACCCCACCCCUGAAAUCGGAAUCCCUAUAAUC